This 782-nucleotide ribosomal RNA is filed under the name Salinibacterium sp. SWN248. RNAcentral's name for it is "partial 23S ribosomal RNA". It matches the Rfam family "Bacterial large subunit ribosomal RNA", at positions 2149 to 2925 of the family's 2925-position model. Lineage: Bacteria; Bacillati; Actinomycetota; Actinomycetes; Micrococcales; Microbacteriaceae. The record is from RNAcentral.
GGGAGACUGUGAAGCUUGGACGCUAGUUCAGGUGGAGUCAUUGUUGAAAUACCACUCUGGUCAUAUUGGAUAUCUAACUUCGAACCGUAAUCCGGUUCAGGGACAGUGCAUGGUGGGUAGUUUAACUGGGGCGGUUGCCUCCCAAAAAGUAACGGAGGCGCCCAAAGGUUCCCUCAACCUGGUUGGUAAUCAGGUGUCGAGUGUAAGUGCACAAGGGAGCUUGACUGUGAGACUGACAAGUCGAGCAGGGACGAAAGUCGGGACUAGUGAUCCGGCAGUGGCUUGUGGAAGCGCUGUCGCUCAACGGAUAAAAGGUACCUCGGGGAUAACAGGCUGAUCUUGCCCAAGAGUCCAUAUCGACGGCAUGGUUUGGCACCUCGAUGUCGGCUCGUCGCAUCCUGGGGCUGGAGUAGGUCCCAAGGGUUGGGCUGUUCGCCCAUUAAAGCGGUACGCGAGCUGGGUUUAGAACGUCGUGAGACAGUUCGGUCCCUAUCCUCUGCGCGCGCAGGAAAUUUGAGAAGAUCUAUCCCUAGUACGAGAGGACCGGGAUGGACGAACCUCUGGUGUGUCAGUUGUUCCGCCAGGAGCACCGCUGAUUAGCUACGUUCGGAAUGGAUAACCGCUGAAAGCAUCUAAGCGGGAAGCCAGCUUCGAGAUGAGAUUUCCAUGGCUUAGGCCGAGAGACUCGCAGCUAGACUACUGCGUUGAUAGGCUGGAUGUGGAAGCAGGGACUAACGACCUGUGGAGCUGACCAGUACUAAUAAGUCGAUAAAUUGAUAACA